CAGGCCAUGUGCACAGGGGGCAUUGAGAAAUAUCUCUGGACCAAUCACCUAAAAGAUGUGACUCUCCUCACUUGCCUGGACUCUGCUCAGAAUAGAGAUUUCGACACAUCAGUGGGUUCAACACCUAGGUGAUGCGGCUCUUCCUUCUUUUCUGGGCUCUUCCAUCAGAGAAGAUUGUGACAUUUUCUGAGCCCAGCACUCAAGUGAGGUGACUUGUCUCCCUGGACUCUCCCCACAGACAGCAUUGUGAAAUAUCUUUGGGAUCAUCACCUAGGUUACUGGGAUCUCAAUGUAGAUGUUAUGUCCAGACAGAGGCUGCUGUGAGCUGAAUCGUCUGCUUCCCAAAAUUCCUAUGUUGACACCUUAACCCCCAGCACCUAAGAAUGUGACUAUAUUUGGAGAUAGCAUCAUCACAGAGUCUCAGGGAUGUCUUUAUCAGCAGUAUGAAAAUGAACCAAUUCAUCCCACUUCACUGUUUGAAGAAAAACUGCUGGCUCUAUGGGGUCUUCAAUUUACUGAAUGAUUCCUAGAUGCCUGGCCCUAAUUCACUCAAGAGUCAAGAAAGGUGCCACCUUAUGGUGCUCACUGGGCGGUUGUGGAUGUCUAACCUCAGUGCUAGUCACACAGAACCUGAAGCCAGGCUGGCUGCUCCUGUAAAUGGCAUGGAAUCCCAGGGAAUAUCCUGCAUUCUCAGUGUCCAGCUGUCUGAUGCCACAGUUGUUUAUGAUGAUCGAGGACAACUACGUUUUUCUGAGGAGACUUACCACCUCAUGGCUGAGGCAUUCACAAAAAAUAGCUCACGUUAUGUUUUGCUUAUUUGCAAGUCAACAAGAUGAGGUCCCUGAGGAUGUCUAACUGAUUCUGUCCACUCGGGAAUGUUUCGGACUUGGUCUUCCUUUUAAUUUACUUUAUAAAUCAUUUUGUAAUUUUUAUCUCCUACUCAUUCUGUAACAGGUAACACAACUGACCAGAAGAAAAACAGCCUAGAUCCUGAGCAUUCAGCCUGUGUCUUCACACAACAAACACCACCUGAGUCCCAUCAAAGCCUGUGUUGUUUCCCAACAUCCACCAUUGAGACAUAUUCCAGAGCAGCCUCUCAAAAUCACCUAAACAAGAUGGAACAAGAAGGUGGAGCCAGACGUACAGGGCGGAACAUGAAAGUGGACCAGGAGCGUGACCGCUGAAGCACAGCACCACAGGAAGAGGUUUAGGCCUCUGGAUGACUGCGGGCGGGCCUGACUCAUGUCAGGCCUUCCACAAGAAGUGGUGGAGCAGAGUCUUCCCCAACUCUCCCAGGGAAAGGGAGACUCCCUUUGCCGGUCUGCUAAGUAACCGGUGCCUUCCCAGGCACUGGCGUUACCGCUAGACCAAGGAGCCCUCUAGUGGCCAUGUCUGGGCAUAACUGAGGGCUCACACUCUUCUGGUCACUUAUCACCCUUCAGCUCCUAUCUCUGUAUGGCCUGGUCUUUCCUAGGUUAUAAUUGUAGAACGGACAUUAUUAUAAUAUUGGAAUAAAGAGUAAUGCUACAAA
RNAcentral lists this long non-coding RNA (1531 nucleotides) under Homo sapiens (human). Its description in RNAcentral is "HSALNT0385542". The record is from RNAcentral. Lineage: Eukaryota; Metazoa; Chordata; Mammalia; Primates; Hominidae.